GACGAACGCUGGCGGCGUGCCUAAUACAUGCAAGUAGAACGCUGAAGCGAGGAGCUUGCUCUUCUUGGAUGAGUUGCGAACGGGUGAGUAACGCGUAGGUAACCUGCCUUGUAGCGGGGGAUAACUAUUGGAAACGAUAGCUAAUACCGCAUAACAAUGGAUGACACAUGUCAUUUAUUUGAAAGGGGCAAUUGCUCCACUACAAGAUGGACCUGCGUUGUAUUAGCUAGUAGGUGAGGUAAUGGCUCACCUAGGCGACGAUACAUAGCCGACCUGAGAGGGUGAUCGGCCACACUGGGACUGAGACACGGCCCAGACUCCUACGGGAGGCAGCAGUAGGGAAUCUUCGGCAAUGGGGGCAACCCUGACCGAGCAACGCCGCGUGAGGGAAGAAGGUUUUCGGAUCGUAAAGCUCUGUUGUAAGUCAAGAACGGGUGUGAGAGUGGAAAGUUCACACUGUGACGGUAGCUUACCAGAAAGGGACGGCUAACUACGUG
Molecule: ribosomal RNA, 497 nt
Filed under: uncultured bacterium
Lineage: Bacteria
Description: partial 16S ribosomal RNA
Rfam family: Bacterial small subunit ribosomal RNA
Source: RNAcentral